This 2008-nucleotide long non-coding RNA is filed under the name Panicum hallii. RNAcentral's name for it is "long non-coding RNA (PHAL_LNC000809)". Lineage: Eukaryota; Viridiplantae; Streptophyta; Magnoliopsida; Poales; Poaceae. The record is from RNAcentral.
AAUCAUUUUAUAGAUCAGUGAUCAUAUAGAACUCACCAUAACCGGUUGCCCAAUAGGAAGGAUGCGGCUACCGGAAUAGGUUUAUGACUCCAUAGAGUUUGUAAACAUUACCCAUAUGGUCAGCCUAAAACAAUUGCCAUGGCUUCUUAGACAUGUCCAAUGAGAGUCGUACCCACCGGUUAUUCAGUAUACUUCUACUACGAAAUGUCAAGGAUGUAGGUUCGCACAUAAAAAUACUACACAAAUAAAAGUUGGUCAAUUAUAUAAAUAAAUCACCACAUAUCGAAACUAUGCAUGUGCCACAUAGUACCCAGGCGCCAAAUUAAGCCAGAUCUAUGGGAGUUCACGCAGCAUCCUGGUCCUCUCCUGACGCCUCGUUGCCACUCCAGGCUCCAAGUAUUAGUAAGGUUCAAUCCUUACGGUGUUUGAGAUCAGACUUCCCAUUAAGCAGGUGGUUGCAGAAGUACAAAGUAAGUGAGAUGUUACGAACCGGUCCUUAUGGUGCUAGAGUAAACUUCUCCUAGUGAGGACACCCAUACAGGAUCAUCUUCACCCUACAGGUUGACCUCUGCAGGCAUCCUACUUUCCCUGCACUACUAAAUGGCACAAUAGCACUUGCUAACACACACCACAAGCAGCUCUAGUACGUCCACACAAUGCUGAACUACAACAUGCUUAAUUGCUUAUACCAUAAAGCGAAAACAAGUUUCUCAUAAUUAUAAUCAUGUUCCUAAGCCGCGUUGUCCGGUGAGGUGCUGGGGUAAAAUGGUAUCGUUAUGGACCAGGACAUUCCUGCAGCGUGGUUUUAUGAAAAACAACUUUUGAAAAUAAUGCAUGUUAAGGCAGGCUAGGAGUAAGUGAAGACGGGGAGUCAGUAUGUACUUUCUUUCUUCAAUGUAGUCCUUGGAUCCUUCGAAGUAGUCCAGAUCCUGCUACCUGUCCUCUGAUGCUCCAUCUUCUAAUGCUCGUGAGGAUGGUAACAUAAGUACCAUCCAUCACAAAUAGAAAAAAAUAAAAACGAAAAGGUGACACAAGAGAGCAAAGGUAGGACAAGAUUUAAGAGGAAUUUUGGAGGUGGUUUCAUCAAAUACAGGUUUAGGGUAAAGAAGAUAUGUUUUUUAGAUUUUAUUGCAUUAUUCUUGGAUAUUGAGUUUAUGGGAAGUUUAUAGUUAUUUUUCCAUUAUUCUACGCCUACGGUGGCUCUAGUGUUUCUAGGAUUUUUUUUUUUGAAAUGUUCUCCCAAAGAAAAGGCUAACGCGUGCUGUGGUUGACCUGUGGGGUCCGCUUAGGCGACGUGCACCUGUACACUAGCCUGACCCAAUUUAUGGCAGGAAAGGCAUUCAUUCUUGUGGGGGCAGGGUUGGUGAUUUGCCUCUAUCUGCUAAAGUGAUCUGCACCACGUCUAGAAUUGGGAAACCCGUGGAGGGCAUUGUCUCGGCAUGGCGGAGCUGAUGGCGCGGGGUAUCAUCGACGUCGAUAUCCAAAGCAAAGAUAGCGCCUCACCAGAGUUGGCCAUGGUGGCGAUAAAAAAUGGAAUGACUCGGGAGCGAUAUUGGCUCGGGUUUGGGGGGGGGGGGGGGCAGAGAUGUGCAGGUAGGGCGUACGAGACGACGUCGUGGGGGCACACUGACAAUCAGCCAGGGCAACCAUGCUCGAUUGAAGCAUAGCGGCUCAGGGUGCACGCAGAUGAGGUGGGGCAGGGAAGGAGAGAGAGAAGGGGCACAUAGACGGAAGAGAGAGGAUCAGUAAUACUUACCAACUACUGGUCCUCGAGGCUCGCUACGCGGCUGCGGUGGCAAACCAAUGGUGAACCGACACGGUGCACCUCCAACAUUGAGAAAAUAGGGGAGCUUGGGAAACAGGAAAAGACAGGAAGAGGGGCCUGAGGGCUGCUGCCUGGUGGUGGUCCUCGAGCUGCUGCUCUGCUUGGUGCAGAGAGUGAGCUUGGGCAAGAGAGGAAGAGGGACUCUAGGGCUGCCUGCCUGGUGGUGGUGCUCGAGCUGCUGCU